RNAcentral lists this ribosomal RNA (1427 nucleotides) under Lactobacillus sp. C30An8. RNAcentral's name for it is "bacterial SSU rRNA". It matches the Rfam family "Bacterial small subunit ribosomal RNA". The record is from RNAcentral. Lineage: Bacteria; Bacillati; Bacillota; Bacilli; Lactobacillales; Lactobacillaceae.
GCUCUGGUGGCGAGUGGCGAACGGGUGAGUAAUAUAUCGGAACGUACCCUGGAGUGGGGGAUAACGUAGCGAAAGUUACGCUAAUACCGCAUACGAUCUACGGAUGAAAGUGGGGGAUCGCAAGACCUCAUGCUCGUGGAGCGGCCGAUAUCUGAUUAGCUAGUUGGUAGGGUAAAAGCCUACCAAGGCAUCGAUCAGUAGCUGGUCUGAGAGGACGACCAGCCACACCGGAACUGAGACACGGUCCAGACUCCUACGGGAGGCAGCAGUGGGGAAUUUUGGACAAUGGGCGAAAGCCUGAUCCAGCAAUGCCGCGUGAGUGAAGAAGGCCUUCGGGUUGUAAAGCUCUUUUGUCAGGGAAGAAACGGUGAGAGCUAAUAUCUCUUGCUAAUGACGGUACCUGAAGAAUAAGCACCGGCUAACUACGUGCCAGCAGCCGCGGUAAUACGUAGGGUGCAAGCGUUGUCCGGAUUUAUUGGGCGUAAAGCGAGUGCAGGCGGUUCAAUAAGUCUGAUGUGAAAGCCUUCGGCUCAACCGGAGAAUUGCAUCAGAAACUGUUGAACUUGAGUGCAGAAGAGGAGAGUGGAACUCCAUGUGUAGCGGUGGAAUGCGUAGAUAUAUGGAAGAACACCAGUGGCGAAGGCGGCUCUCUGGUCUGCAACUGACGCUGAGGCUCGAAAGCAUGGGUAGCGAACAGGAUUAGAUACCCUGGUAGUCCAUGCCGUAAACGAUGAGUGCUAAGUGUUGGGAGGUUUCCGCCUCUCAGUGCUGCAGCUAACGCAUUAAGCACUCCGCCUGGGGGAGUACGACCGCAAGGUUGAAACUCAAAGGAAUUGACGGGGGCCCGCACAAGCGGUGGAGCAUGUGGUUUAAUUCGAAGCAACGCGAAGAACCUUACCAGGUCUUGACAUCCAGUGCAAACCUAAGAGAUUAGGUGUUCCCUUCGGGGACGCUGAGACAGGUGGUGCAUGGCUGUCGUCAGCUCGUGUCGUGAGAUGUUGGGUUAAGUCCCGCAACGAGCGCAACCCUUGUCAUUAGUUGCCAUCAUUAAGUUGGGCACUCUAAUGAGACUGCCGGUGACAAACCGGAGGAAGGUGGGGAUGACGUCAAGUCAUCAUGCCCCUUAUGACCUGGGCUACACACGUGCUACAAUGGACGACACAACGAGAAGCGAACCUGCGAAGGCAAGCGGAUCUCUUAAAGCCGUUCUCAGUUCGGACUGUAGGCUGCAACUCGCCUACACGAAGCUGGAAUCGCUAGUAAUCGCGGAUCAGCACGCCGCGGUGAAUACGUUCCCGGGCCUUGUACACACCGCCCGUCACACCAUGAGAGUCUGUAACACCCAAAGCCGGUGGGAUAACCUUUAUAGGGGUCAGCCGUCUAAGGUAGGACAGAUGAUUAGGGUGAAGUCGUAACAAGGUAGCCGU